GCUACAGGCUUAACACAUGCAAGUCGAGGGGCAGCAUGGUCUUAGCUUGCUAAGGCCGAUGGCGACCGGCGCACGGGUGAGUAACACGUAUCCAACCUGCCGUCUACUCUUGGACAGCCUUCUGAAAGGAAGAUUAAUACAAGAUGGCAUCAUGAGUCCGCAUGUUCACAUGAUUAAAGGUAUUCCGGUAGACGAUGGGGAUGCGUUCCAUUAGAUAGUAGGCGGGGUAACGGCCCACCUAGUCUUCGAUGGAUAGGGGUUCUGAGAGGAAGGUCCCCCACAUUGGAACUGAGACACGGUCCAAACUCCUACGGGAGGCAGCAGUGAGGAAUAUUGGUCAAUGGGCGAGAGCCUGAACCAGCCAAGUAGCGUGAAGGAUGACUGCCCUAUGGGUUGUAAACUUCUUUUAUAAAGGAAUAAAGUCGGGUAUGGAUACCCGUUUGCAUGUACUUUAUGAAUAAGGAUCGGCUAACUCCGUGCCAGCAGCCGCGGUAAUACGGAGGAUCCGAGCGUUAUCCGGAUUUAUUGGGUUUAAAGGGAGCGUAGAUGGAUGUUUAAGUCAGUUGUGAAAGUUUGCGGCUCAACCGUAAAAUUGCAGUUGAUACUGGAUAUCUUGAGUGCAGUUGAGGCAGGCGGAAUUCGUGGUGUAGCGGUGAAAUGCUUAGAUAUCACGAAGAACUCCGAUUGCGAAGGCAGCCUGCUAAGCUGCAACUGACAUUGAGGCUCGAAAGUGUGGGUAUCAAACAGGAUUAGAUACCCUGGUAGUCCACACGGUAAACGAUGAAUACUCGCUGUUUGCGAUAUACUGCAAGCGGCCAAGCGAAAGCGUUAAGUAUUCCACCUGGGGAGUACGCCGGCAACGGUGAAACUCAAAGGAAUUGACGGGGGCCCGCACAAGCGGAGGAACAUGUGGUUUAAUUCGAUGAUACGCGAGGAACCUUACCCGGGCUUAAAUUGCAGAUGAAUUACGGUGAAAGCCGUAAGCCGCAAGGCAUCUGUGAAGGUGCUGCAUGGUUGUCGUCAGCUCGUGCCGUGAGGUGUCGGCUUAAGUGCCAUAACGAGCGCAACCCUUGUUGUCAGUUACUAACAGGUUCCGCUGAGGACUCUGACAAGACUGCCAUCGUAAGAUGUGAGGAAGGUGGGGAUGGCGUCAAAUCAGCACGGCCCUUACGUCCGGGGCUACACACGUGUUACAAUGGGGGGUACAGAGGGCCGCUACCACGCGAGUGGAUGCCAAUCCCCAAAACCUCUCUCAGUUCGGACUGGAGUCUGCAACCCGACUCCACGAAGCUGGAUUCGCUAGUAAUCGCGCAUCAGCCACGGCGCGGUGAAUACGUUCCCGGGCCUUGUACACACCGCCCGUCAAGCCAUGGGAGCCGGGGGUACCUGAAGUGCGUAACCGCGAGGAGCGCCCUAGGGUAAAACUGGUGACUGGGGCUAAGUCAUAACAA
This 1451-nucleotide ribosomal RNA is filed under the name uncultured organism. Its description in RNAcentral is "SSU rRNA". It matches the Rfam family "Bacterial small subunit ribosomal RNA". The record is from RNAcentral.